Molecule: ribosomal RNA, 490 nt
Filed under: uncultured bacterium
Lineage: Bacteria
Description: partial 16S ribosomal RNA
Rfam family: Bacterial small subunit ribosomal RNA
Source: RNAcentral
AGUGAACGCUGGCGGUAGGCCUAACACAUGCAAGUCGAACGGCAGCACAGGAGAGCUUGCUCUCUGGGUGGCGAGUGGCGGACGGGUGAGGAAUACAUCGGAAUCUGCCCAGUCGUGGGGGAUAACGUAGGGAAACUUACGCUAAUACCGCAUACGACCUUCGGGUGAAAGAGGGGGAUCGCAAGACCUCUCGCGAUUGGAUGAGCCGAUGUCGGAUUAGCUAGUUGGCGGGGUAAUGGCCCACCAAGGCGACGAUCCGUAGCUGGUCUGAGAGGAUGAUCAGCCACACUGGAACUGAGACACGGUCCAGACUCCUACGGGAGGCAGCAGUGGGGAAUAUUGGACAAUGGGCGCAAGCCUGAUCCAGCCAUACCGCGUGGGUGAAGAAGGCCUUCGGGUUAUAAAGCCCUUUUGUUGGGAAAGAAAUCUUUCAGGCUAAUACCCUGGGAGGAUGACGGUACCCAAAGAAUAAGCACCGGCUAACUUCGUG